UACGUAGGUGGCAAGCGCUGUCCGGAAUUAUUGGGCUUAAAGCACGCGCAGGCGGUUUCUUAAGUCUGAUGCGAAAGCCCACGGCUCAACCGUGGAGGGUCAUUGGAAACUGGGAGACUUGAGUACAGAAGAGGAGAGUGGAAUUCCACGUGUAGCGGUGAAAUGCGUAGAGAUGUGGAGGAACACCAGUGGCGAAGGCGACUCUCUGGUCUGUAACUGACGCUGAGGCGCGAAAGCGUGGGGAGCGAACAGG
Molecule: unclassified non-coding RNA, 253 nt
Filed under: uncultured Bacillaceae bacterium
Lineage: Bacteria; Bacillati; Bacillota; Bacilli; Caryophanales; Bacillaceae
Description: contains 16S-23S intergenic spacer region
Rfam family: Bacterial small subunit ribosomal RNA
Source: RNAcentral